RNAcentral lists this small RNA (323 nucleotides) under Pongo abelii (Sumatran orangutan). RNAcentral describes it as "sense intronic". Lineage: Eukaryota; Metazoa; Chordata; Mammalia; Primates; Hominidae. The record is from RNAcentral.
AAUUUACAGAUGUCAAAUAAUAGGCUAAUUUGUCAUAAUGUUCUAGUUUAAGAUAAUUCCUAGGCUGGUCUCAAAACUCCCGACUUCAAGUGAUCUGCCCGCCUCAGCCUCCCAUCUCAAAGUGCUGGGAGUACAGGGAUAAGCCACUGUGCCGGGCCAAUUUUGCUUGUUUUAAAGGGUUUUUUUUUUUUUUUUUUUGAUAGUCAGUAAUUGUUCAAACUAGGAAUUGUAUCCCCAUCUUUCUUUUUUCAUAAUUACUCAAGUAACUGAUGAGUGUAACAGAAGCUCCUCAAAACAGUUUUAUUAAAUUGCCUUUCAUUUUU